RNAcentral lists this ribosomal RNA (619 nucleotides) under uncultured Laccaria. RNAcentral's name for it is "eukaryotic LSU rRNA". The stretch from base 238 to 391 matches the Rfam family "5.8S ribosomal RNA". Lineage: Eukaryota; Fungi; Basidiomycota; Agaricomycetes; Agaricales; Tricholomataceae. The record is from RNAcentral.
GAUCAUUAUGGAUAAACCCUGAUGUGGUGGUAGUGGGUUUCCGGAACCAAGUGUUCGCCCUUCUUUUUUAUUUUUCCCCCUGUCCCCCUUUUGUAUUCUUUGGAUUUUUUUGGAGGAAAUUGGGAUUGGGGAUUGCCGUUUCGGCUUUCCUUCCAUUUCCAAGAUUAUGUUUUCAUAUACACCAAAGAAUGUUUAAAGAAUGUCAUCAAUGGGAACUUGUUUCCUAUAAAACUAUACAACUUUCAGCAACGGAUCUCUUGGCUCUCGCAUCGAUGAAGAACGCAGCGAAAUGCGAUAAGUAAUGUGAAUUGCAGAAUUCAGUGAAUCAUCGAAUCUUUGAACGCACCUUGCGCUCCUUGGUAUUCCGAGGAGCAUGCCUGUUUGAGUGUCAUUAAAUUCUCAACCUUCCAGCUUUUUAUUAGCUUGGUUAGGCUUGGAUGUGGGGGUUGCAGGCUUUGUUAUGAGGUCAGCUCUCCUUAAAUGCAUUAGCGGAACUUUUGUGGACCGUCUAUUGGUGUGAUAAUUAUCUACGCUGUGGAUGUGAAGCAGCUUUAUGAGGUUCAGCUUCUAACCGUCCAUUGACUUGGACAGUUUUGACAAUUGACCUCAAAUCAUGUAG